Molecule: long non-coding RNA, 871 nt
Organism: Hyla sarda
Lineage: Eukaryota; Metazoa; Chordata; Amphibia; Anura; Hylidae
Exons: 4
Source: RefSeq, a predicted model, not a curated record
GCUGUCCCUGUCUCCCAGUCCCAGUCUAAAACUUUACCUGGCACUGUGCAAUGCUGUGCGGCCGGGUGGCUGGAUCUGUGGAGGGACGUUGCGGAAGUGACGUCACUCCGCAGACCCGCGCAGGACGUCACGUCACUCGCCGAGACUGAGAGGAGACUGGAGAGGUGCUGCGGUAGUAGAUGUUAAGAGAUUCACAUGGCGGUCUUAUCCGGACGGAGAAGAAAAGGAAAGAGGACGUCGCUGAUCAGAAAAGACGUAAUUAUACGUGAAUGUGGAGGACUACAUCAGAUUCAGUGGACUGAGAUGUGGUCAUGUAUUUAUGAAAUGCGAUAGUUGCUAUUUAUGAAGAAAAAAAAGUCGCAUCUCCUUUUAAAAGUCGCAUAUGUAUUCCAGGUCCAACCUGGCUUACAGAAAGUGCAUCUGUCUGCUGAAAAGGACAUUAACACCCACUUUAUCAAAUGUUCUUGUUCUGCAUCAUGAAACAAAGCUACUACAUUAAUGUUAAUGUUAAUUAUAGAACAACAUUUAUUAUAUAACUAAUAACUAUUAAUUGUAAGGUUGAAAAUACACACUGAACACCUUGUUAAUUUUAGGACAUGAGCAUGCUGGCGUACCCACUAAAUUUUAAAAUUAAUGUUGUGUUAAAAUAGAAUAAGGAACAAAAUAAUUGUGUAUAAAUUUUUACAGACUGCGUAAAUGACCCAUAUGUGGCACUAAAAUUUUUCCUUAAAAAAAAAAAAGAAGCAUCCAUAGUAAAACAGCUCUGUGCACAUUUUGGGGUGGGUAAUGUACCGAGCCGUUUUUUUUUUUUGUGGCUUCACUAUUGUUUAUGUGUCUUUUGGUGCUGCCAAGUCUUCUUUCUUGACGUAAA